UCACACAAUUCACGUUAAAUACAGGAAAAACAUGGUAAAGAGAUUGAAGUAAGUACUACUUAAUAAAUUCAAAAGAAGAAAAAAGGGAAAAGAAAUGAUUUGCCUCCCAUUAAGUGCCCUUUUUUACUAUUCAAGGUCGGACUACGUUCUACUGCUGUUAGUCGUGUGCCUCGGGUAAGUUCAAGGUUACCUCUUAAAUGUUGUGUGCAAAAAACCCUCAUAGAAAGAUUUAAGUCGAUAUUCAUUUACCAUGCAAAUUUUGUUGGUGUUAAGACUCCUGAUUUCAAAUUUGCCAUAAGGGGAGAUGCUAGUGACAACAAAUGGUCCGAUCUAUCUCCACCUUAGCUUCCCAAGGAACAACUUAAGUCGAGAGUCAAAGAGGAGGACCUUCUGUCCUAUCAAGAAUUGUUUCGUUGAAAGAACUUGGUCAUGGAAUAUCUUGGUCUUCUCUUUAUAGAUUCUUGAAUUCUCAUAGGCCUCAAUUUGUAUUUCUUCUAGCUUUUACAGUUGCAACUUCCUAUGCUCGCCUGCCUCUUCCAACUUCAUGUUGCAGCUUUUGAUAACAAGUAUGUCUUAUGCUCUAGCUCAACAAGUAGGUGGCAUGCCUUUUCGAAGACUAGCCAGUAUAUGAACAUUUUAAUUGGUGUUUUAAAUGCUGUCCGGUAUGCCCAUAGAGCAUCACCUAGCCUUCUACUAUAAUCCUUUUUAUUCAGGUUGAUAGUCUUUUCU
RNAcentral lists this long non-coding RNA (729 nucleotides) under Carica papaya (papaya). RNAcentral's name for it is "long non-coding RNA (CPAP_LNC005119)". Lineage: Eukaryota; Viridiplantae; Streptophyta; Magnoliopsida; Brassicales; Caricaceae. The record is from RNAcentral.